Molecule: ribosomal RNA, 468 nt
Filed under: uncultured bacterium
Lineage: Bacteria
Description: partial 16S ribosomal RNA
Rfam family: Bacterial small subunit ribosomal RNA
Source: RNAcentral
GACGAACGCUGGCGGCGUGCUUAACACAUGCGAGUCGAACGGAAAGGCCCUGCUUUUGUGGGGUGCUCGAGUGGCGAACGGGUGAGUAACACGUGAGUAACCUGCCCUUGACUUUGGGAUAACUUCAGGAAACUGGGGCUAAUACCGGAUAGGAGCUCCUGCUGCAUGGUGGGGGUUGGAAAGUUUCGGCGGUUGGGGAUGGACUCGCGGCUUAUCAGCUUGUUGGUGGGGUAGUGGCUUACCAAGGCUUUGACGGGUAGCCGGCCUGAGAGGGUGACCGGCCACAUUGGGACUGAGAUACGGCCCAGACUCCUACGGGAGGCAGCAGUGGGGAAUAUUGCACAAUGGGCGGAAGCCUGAUGCAGCAACGCCGCGUGCGGGAUGACGGCCUUCGGGUUGUAAACCGCUUUCGCCUGUGACGAAGCGUGGGUGACGGUAAUGGGUAAAGAAGCACCGGCUAACUACGUG